RNAcentral lists this long non-coding RNA (280 nucleotides) under Helianthus annuus (common sunflower). RNAcentral's name for it is "sRNA HanXRQr2_Chr16g0736171". The record is from RNAcentral. Lineage: Eukaryota; Viridiplantae; Streptophyta; Magnoliopsida; Asterales; Asteraceae.
UUGGUGUGGAGAUGUGGAGAUAAUAGUUGCAGAUAUUAGCACAUUUGAAAUGGAAGGAUCAAAUGAGGUUACUUAAAUAAUCUGGAGGCAACCACGUCUACUUUAGAUUCAACCGGAUGGUUAACAAUAGGAGACCUAUGCCACAUUGAUGAAGACGGGUUACCCUUUGUUUGUGCCUUUGUAUAGUAACUCUUUGUUUAUGUCUUUGUUCGCAAUCGAGUUACUUACGUUUCUACUCCGAUUUUUAAUCAUGGUUGUUGAUGUAUGAUAAAACAAAUUG